AAGAGGAUGAUCACAAAAGCGACAUUUGUGGGUUCUGCUUUUACAAGAAAACCCUCGUAGUAUGAGCGCUUUAUCCGUCCUUCAGGGUUGCGGUUCACCAAAGUUCAUGUGACACACCCUGAACUCAAAUGCACUUUCAAUCUUGACAUUAUCGGAGUAAAGAAAAAUCCUAAUGGUCAGAUGUAUACCUCUCUUGGUGUGAUGACAAAGGGAACCAUCAUUGAGGUGAAUGUCAAUGAGUUGGGUCUGGUUACACCUGCUGGGAAAGUUGUAUGGGGAAAAUAUGCUC
Molecule: long non-coding RNA, 289 nt
Organism: Quercus lobata
Lineage: Eukaryota; Viridiplantae; Streptophyta; Magnoliopsida; Fagales; Fagaceae
Exons: 3
Source: RefSeq, a predicted model, not a curated record